This 449-nucleotide ribosomal RNA is filed under the name uncultured bacterium. Its description in RNAcentral is "bacterial SSU rRNA". It matches the Rfam family "Bacterial small subunit ribosomal RNA", at positions 355 to 796 of the family's 1533-position model. The record is from RNAcentral.
UGGGGAAUAUUGCGCAAUGGAGGAAACUCUGACGCAGCGACGCCGCGUGGGUGAUGAAGGCCUUCGGGUUGUAAAGCCCUGUCGGCUGGGAAAAAGGUAGUCAUGCUAAUACCAUGAUUGCUUGAUGGUACCAGCAAAGGAAGCACCGGCUAACCCUGUGCCAGCAGCCGCGGUAAUACAGGGGGUGCAAGCGUUGUUCGGAAUUACUGGGCGUAAAGGGCGCGUAGGCGGCUUGGUAAGUCAGGCGUGAAAUCCCGGAGCUUAACUCCGGAAGUGCGUUUGAAACUACCUCGCUAGAGUUCAGUAGAGGAUGGUGGAAUUCCCAGUGUAGAGGUGAAAUUCGUAGAUAUUGGGAGGAACACCGGUGGCGAAGGCGGCCAUCUGGGCUGCAACUGACGCUGAGGCGCGAAAGCGUGGGGAUCAAACAGGAUUAGAUACCCCCGUAGUCC